CCUACGGGAGACAGCAGUGAGGAAUAUUGGUCAAUGGGCGGGAGCCUGAACCAGCCAAGUCGCGUGAGGGAAGACGGUCCUAUGGAUUGUAAACCUCUUUAGGCGGGGAGCAAUGCCGGGCACGCGUGCCCGGAGGGAGAGUACCCGCAGAAUAAGCAUCGGCUAACUCCGUGCCAGCAGCCGCGGUACUACGGAGGAUGCGAGCGUUCUCCGGAUUUAUUGGGUUUAAAGGGUGCGUAGGCGGAGUUUUAAGUCAGCGGUAAAAUGUCCGGGCUCAACCCGGGCCGGCCGUUGAAACUGGGGAGCUUGAGUGGGCGAGAAGUAUGCGGAAUGCGUGGUGUAGCGGUGAAAUGCAUAGAUAUCACGCAGAACUCCGAUUGCGAAGGCAGCAUACCGGCGCCCGACUGACGCUGAGGCACGAAAGCGUGGGGAUCGAACAGGAUUAGAUACCCCAGUAGUC
RNAcentral lists this ribosomal RNA (460 nucleotides) under uncultured bacterium. RNAcentral describes it as "partial 16S ribosomal RNA". It matches the Rfam family "Bacterial small subunit ribosomal RNA", at positions 338 to 795 of the family's 1533-position model. The record is from RNAcentral.